AAAGCUGAAAAGGAAAAACUUGAAAAUCUUAGAAGGAUGGAAAUAGCAAUACUGUCAAGGAUUUGUUGAAUUUGCUGACAUGUAUGUCUACCUCUACAUCAUGCCUGUUCAUCAGAGACACAGAAAACAAGAUGGAUUUGCAGCUUGUAAGACUAACAGUCCACAAUAUGCAUUAAAGUUUUCCCAUGGGAGGAGCAGACAUCCAGGUGGUUGAAAUUGCUAUCAGAACGAGAGUUUGCAAGCGUGAUGUUCCUUGUAGCUGAAGCAAGCAUGAAAGCUGUUCUACAUGAAAUAGAAUGCAUCUCUGAGAAGCAGCACAAGAACAGAUGAAACCAAAGGCCAUGGUAAACAGCAUAGGCCUUCAGACAUCAUGAGCAACAUUAGUAUAUAAGCUGACAAAUUUGUUUACAACACAAGGCUGUUGUGAAUAACUUUUUGCAUGAAAAGAAAUGUUCAAAGGAAAAUGCAAUAUGGUAAAAGAAAGGUCAGAAACAUGAUCUGUGAGACAACUUUUCUAAAAAAAAUAUGUUGGCUGCUUUGCUUAAAAUGUAGGGGGAAAAAUUACAAAAGAUGUCAUAUAGUUCAAAUAAUAAUGAAAAUGUAUUUCUUUGGUAUCUAUUUAAAACAUUUAGGGAUUUGAUCCUAGCAGUUGUAUCAUAAAUCUGAAGAAAACUAAGAAGUUAUGAUUAUGAGUCACUGCCAGAAACAGAAUUGCAUGUUUGUUAAAUCUUAUAGUAGAGGCGGACUUAACCAAUCUAUAUUUAUUAAGCUUUCUACAAAAUCUUGUCUGCUAAAUGAGACAGAAUAUUAAUCAAGUAAACUUCAUAAGAUGUCAGAGAACCAAAACACUUUAAAAACAAAUUGAACCCUUUUCAUUCCUUUUGAAAUCUGAGGAGAAAUAGAGUGAGAUUGAGAAAGAGUAUCUUGUAAACCUGUGCAUUUUCUUAAAGCUUUCAUAUAUCAUAAAUGAUGACCUAAGGAUAAACUUAAACUUUGCAGAAAUUGUUGAUGAAGCACUGCCAUCUUUUGGUUGCACAAAUACUGAAUAUGGAAGAUGGAUAUAAUUGUCACAGAAAUAAAGACAUAGGUUGAUUUAAUAAAAUGACUGCUUUGUCACAACAUUCAUUUACUUUGCUUUUAUAGAAAAUGGGCUGCAACUGUCCAUUAGAAGAUUAUUUCAUUUUAAUCAAGAAUCAAUUAGCAAGGUAAGUUUUAUUACAGUCUAGAUAGAUUUUGAAAUUCUGAAAUUAAUAAAUUGUAAUAUAGAUGAAAUCUGUAGUGUAAGAAUUGUGUAAGAGCCUAUUGUAAGAUUAUUUGAAUUAUUUAAGAAUUAAUUUAUGACUCUAAAAUCCACUGUGUUUUGUAUUUAUGGAAACACAAAUUGUUUUCUGCUCCUUAUGUUAUGCAUAUGAUAUCAAUACUCAGUUUCGGUAUUGUAGUAUCAGAAAGUUGUUUGAAAAUGUAUUUUGCCUCUUACCCAUUUAACAGCUUGCAAAGGAUAUACAGUUCUAAAUAAACAAUGUAGUAUG
Gallus gallus (chicken) is the source of this 1529-nucleotide long non-coding RNA. NCBI's taxonomy places the organism in Eukaryota, Metazoa, Chordata, Aves, Galliformes, Phasianidae. The record is from Ensembl.